UACCCGAGGCCCGAGGGGUGCUCAUAUUUAUUGAGCAUAAAGCGUCCGUAGCUGGCCGGCAAAUCCCCGGGGAAAUCGGGCGGCUCAACCGCCCCAAUUCCGGAGACACUGCUCGGCUUGAGAUCGGGAGAGGGAGAAGGUACUCCCUGGGUAGGGGUAAAAUCCUGUAAUCCGGGGGGGACCACCAGUGGCGAAGGCGUUCUCCUAGAACGAAUCUGACAGUGAGGGACGAAGCCCUAGGGCGCAAACGGG
This 252-nucleotide ribosomal RNA is filed under the name uncultured bacterium. Its description in RNAcentral is "partial 16S ribosomal RNA". It matches the Rfam family "Archaeal small subunit ribosomal RNA", at positions 474 to 727 of the family's 1478-position model. The record is from RNAcentral.